This 492-nucleotide ribosomal RNA is filed under the name uncultured bacterium. Its description in RNAcentral is "partial 16S ribosomal RNA". It matches the Rfam family "Bacterial small subunit ribosomal RNA", at positions 29 to 507 of the family's 1533-position model. The record is from RNAcentral.
AGUGAACGCUGGCGGUAGGCCUAACACAUGCAAGUCGAACGGCAGCACAGUAAGAGCUUGCUCUUACGGGUGGCGAGUGGCGGACGGGUGUGGAAUACAUCGGAAUCUACUUUUUCGUGGGGGAUAACGUAGGGAAACUUACGCUAAUACCGCAUACGACCUACGGGUGAAAGCAGGGGAUCUUCGGACCUUGCGCGAUUGAAUGAGCCGAUGUCGGAUUAGCUAGUUGGCGGGGUAAAGGCCCACCAAGGCGACGAUCCGUAGCUGGUCUGAGAGGAUGAUCAGCCACACUGGAACUGAGACACGGUCCAGACUCCUACGGGAGGCAGCAGUGGGGAAUAUUGGACAAUGGGCGCAAGCCUGAUCCAGCCAUACCGCGUGGGUGAAGAAGGCCUUCGGGUUGUAAAGCCCUUUUGUUGGGAAAGAAAAGCAGCAGGUUAAUACCCCGCUGUUCCGACGGUACCCAAAGAAUAAGCACCGGCUAACUUCGUG